RNAcentral lists this ribosomal RNA (492 nucleotides) under uncultured bacterium. RNAcentral describes it as "partial 16S ribosomal RNA". It matches the Rfam family "Bacterial small subunit ribosomal RNA", at positions 29 to 507 of the family's 1533-position model. The record is from RNAcentral.
AGUGAGCGCUGGCGGUAGGCCUAACACAUGCAAGUCGAACGGCAGCACAGUAAGAGCUUGCUUUAACGUGUUGCGAGUGGCGGACGGGUGAGGUAUACAUCUGACUCUACUUUUUCGUGGGGGAUAACGUAGGGAAACUUACUCUAAUAUAGCACACGACCUACUGGUUAAAGCAGGGGAUCUUCGUACCUAGCGCGAAUGACUGUGUCGUAGUCGGUUGUGCUAGUUGGCGGGGUAAAGGCCCACCAAGGCGACGAUCCGUAGCCGGUCUGAGAGGAUGAUCAGCCACACGGGAGCUAAGAUGCGGUCCAGACUCCGACGGGAGGCACCAGUGAGGAAUCUUCGACAAUGGGCGGAAGCCUGUACCAGCCAUACCGCGAAGGUGUAGAGGACCUUCGGGUUGUAGAGCACUUUUGUUGGGGAAGAAAAGCAGCAGGUUAUUACGAAGCUGUUCUGACGGUACCCAAAGAAUAAGCACCGGCUAACUUCGUG